GAAGAACGCCGUUGAGAGACUACACCGCCCAUGAAACCCUGCAGUAUAACCUUGAAGUACCAUCACGGAGAGAAACAGUGCCAUCUCAGGGCCAGUGGCGCAAUGGAUAACGCGUCUGACUACGGAUCAGAAGAUUCCAGGAGCCAAUGACCAAUAGGCCAGAGCACUGGAGACUUUCUGGAAGAAAGAGGUACUGAAGCAUCCAAUAUGGAAAUAGUCAAGAUAUAGAAAAUGCAAGCUCUUGAAGGAUUCAAGAUAUAGAAAGGAUCUGAGAUAUGGAAAGAACUCAGGAUAUAGAAGGAUCUGAAAUUUUGGAGACUAAGAUAUGAGAAUAUUUAAGACACAGGUGAGCAGAAAUCCCCGGAUGCCAUUUGAUUUUCUUGGGAUUCUAAUCUGUGGAACCAAGAAGUGAAAGAAAACAAAAAGAUGAAUAAACAGCUGGCUGCUCCAAGGACACUACCUUAUGUUCAAAUUUCUGCUGUCCACAAGCUGGAAAGGAACCUCAAGGAUGACUUUUACAGAGGGCCUAUACCACACAUCCUGGGUCCCAAGCUCUUACACAAGCUUUAUGGACAAACAGAUUUACAAGUGCCAAAACAUGUCACAUUCUAAGCACACAUGUGUUUCCACUUGCUCCAAGCUGUCCAAAAGGAGCAUCCUAAAAAGAGAACUUUCCAAUUCACUGAGUCUAAACAAGAGGAUUCUCCACCACCACCACCAUUAUGCCAAAGUUAAAACUGAGCUGCAGCUUCCCAGUUAUGAGUGAACUGGGGGAAAAGGGAAAAAAAUCAAAGUCUACUUUUUCCCCCCAAAUAACUCAGCUAUCAAAUUCCAUAAUAGUUUUUUUGUGCUUCUUUUUUUGUCUAAGAUCUGUUGGUAGUUUUUUUUUUUUUUAUCAUUAACUCUAGAAUCAUCCUUCAGGAAUGACAAAUCAUUCCACACUUGAACAACUGGUUUUCACAUAACAGCCUAAGAAAAGAGCACCUGGAGGAAACAGCGUGACAAGAAGACUGACAGUGAGGUCAGUGGCAAAAGAGUAAUGCAAAGGUGUAAUGUGGCUACAACGAGAACGUGAGCUGUGGGUGUUUUGCCAGAACAUGGAGUGCGCUGAAAGGAAUGACACCAACACAGGGGCAGUAAAGAUGGGCACAGUUUGACCUCAGGAGACAAAAAUUUUCCCUUGACAUUACUUUUCAUGUUUUUGCUCUGCCCCUCCUCUCUGCAAGGUAUCAAACUCCAAAGGGCAACUGAGCCUCCCAAAGCUGAACAGGCAUUGAAGGUUAUUAUGAUUUAACGCUUCAUGUUUAUAGAACAUUUGGUUUACUCGAUCGUUUUAUGAGUAACAUCAAAGUAACUACUCAUUUGUUUUCUAACAUGGUCUAGAGGGGGACGCAGCUGAGGAGGCAGAAUGCUGGGACUUAAUUUGCAGCUCGGCCGGCCGUUGCUUCUGAGAACUUAAGGAAAAUGCUUUUUUCUGUGCCAAACUUUUCCCACCUGCAAAACUGAGAUAACGAUUCCUGCCUUGGAUGAGACAUUAAGAAUUAAUAACACAAUCGACUUGUCAACAAAAGCCACUACUUAGUUAAGUUCAGUGUUUUAACAAUUCUGUUUAUCGUUGAUCUAUGACUGCAAAUAAAAAGUUUUGCAGGCAAA
Homo sapiens (human) is the source of this 1653-nucleotide long non-coding RNA. Ensembl annotates it as PRMT5 divergent transcript. Its record names the gene PRMT5-DT. NCBI's taxonomy places the organism in Eukaryota, Metazoa, Chordata, Mammalia, Primates, Hominidae. The record is from Ensembl.